RNAcentral lists this ribosomal RNA (420 nucleotides) under uncultured bacterium. RNAcentral describes it as "bacterial SSU rRNA". It matches the Rfam family "Bacterial small subunit ribosomal RNA", at positions 1061 to 1481 of the family's 1533-position model. The record is from RNAcentral.
CGUGUCGUGAGAUGUUGGGUUAAGUCCCGCAACGAGCGCAACCCUUGACCUUAGUUGCCAGCAUUGAGUUGGGCACUCUAAGGUGACUGCCGGUGACAAACCGGAGGAAGGUGGGGAUGACGUCAAAUCAUCAUGCCCCUUAUGACCUGGGCUACACACGUGCUACAAUGGAUGGUACAAAGGGCUGCGAGACCGCGAGGUUAAGCCAAUCCCAGAAAACCAUUCCCAGUUCGGAUUGCAGGCUGCAACCCGCCUGCAUGAAGCCGGAAUCGCUAGUAAUCGCGGAUCAGCAUGCCGCGGUGAAUACGUUCCCGGGCCUUGUACACACCGCCCGUCACACCACGAGAGUUUGUAACACCCGAAGUCGGUGAGGUAACCUUUACGGAGCCAGCCGCCGAAGGUGGGACAGAUGAUUGGGGU